UAACCCCUCCAGCUUGCUGGGUCUUGGGCCUCGCCUCCGGGCGGGCCUUAAAAUCAGUGGCGGCCCUGCCGGGUCCUGAGCGCAGUAACUUUUCUCGCUACAGGGCUCCGACGGGUGCUGGCCAGCAACCCCAUCUUUCUAAU
This 143-nucleotide unclassified non-coding RNA is filed under the name Hymenoscyphus repandus. RNAcentral's name for it is "partial internal transcribed spacer 2". Lineage: Eukaryota; Fungi; Ascomycota; Leotiomycetes; Helotiales; Helotiaceae. The record is from RNAcentral.